AGACCCGAAACCCGGUGAUCUAGCCAUGGGCAGGUUGAAGGUUGGGUAACACUAACUGGAGGACCGAACCGACUAAUGUUGAAAAAUUAGCGGAUGACCUGUGGCUGGGGGUGAAAGGCCAAUCAAACCGGGAGAUAGCUGGUUCUCCCCGAAAGCUAUUUAGGUAGCGCCUCGUGAAUUCAUCUCCGGGGGUAGAGCACUGUUUCGGCUAGGGGGCCAUCCCGGCUUACCAACCCGAUGCAAACUGCGAAUACCGGAGAAUGUUAUCACGGGAGACACACGGCGGGUGCUAACGUCCGUCGUGAAGAGGGAAACAACCCAGACCGCCAGCUAAGGUCCCAAAGUCAUGGUUAAGUGGGAAACGAUGUGGGAAGGCCCAGACAGCCAGGAUGUUGGCUUAGAAGCAGCCAUCAUUUAAAGAAAGCGUAAUAGCUCACUGGUCGAGUCGGCCUGCGCGGAAGAUGUAACGGGGCUAAACCAUGCACCGAAGCUGCGGCAGCGACACUCAGGUGUUGUUGGGUAGGGGAGCGUUCUGUAAGCCUGUGAAGGUGGCCUGUGAGGGUUGCUGGAGGUAUCAGAAGUGCGAAUGCUGACAUAAGUAACGAUAAAGCGGGUGAAAAGCCCGCUCGCCGGAAGACCAAGGGUUCCUGUCCAACGUUAAUCGGGGCAGGGUGAGUCGACCCCUAAGGCGAGGCCGAAAGGCGUAGUCGAUGGGAAACGGGUUAAUAUUCCCGUACUUGGUGUUACUGCGAAGGGGGGACGGAGAAGGCUAUGUUGGCCGGGCGACGGUUGUCCCGGUUUAAGCGUGUAGGUGUGUGUU
This 820-nucleotide ribosomal RNA is filed under the name Salmonella enterica subsp. enterica serovar Bonn. RNAcentral's name for it is "partial 23S ribosomal RNA". It matches the Rfam family "Bacterial large subunit ribosomal RNA", at positions 711 to 1532 of the family's 2925-position model. Lineage: Bacteria; Pseudomonadati; Pseudomonadota; Gammaproteobacteria; Enterobacterales; Enterobacteriaceae. The record is from RNAcentral.